Molecule: unclassified non-coding RNA, 435 nt
Filed under: Psammoryctides barbatus
Lineage: Eukaryota; Metazoa; Annelida; Clitellata; Tubificida; Naididae
Description: sequence contains ITS2
Rfam family: 5.8S ribosomal RNA (bases 1-95)
Source: RNAcentral
GAAGUAAUGUGAAUUGCAGGACACAUUGAACAUCGACAUCUUGAACGCAUAUUGCGGCCUCGGGCAUUCCCGAGGCCACGCCUGUCUCAGGGUCGGUUGAACUUAUCAAUCGUCGGUCGUCCUAUUUGCCGACGCAUUGGACCGUCGCGGCGCGUACGUCCUACGGGUGCGAUCGGUCGGCCUAAUUUGCCGAUCGCACCUUUACGCGCCACGUCGUCCGAAGUACAGACGGGUCCGUCGAUGCUUUGCCGGCCGCACGUCCUCAGUCCGCCCGUCUCGGACGGGGACGGCGACUCGGAUUCUCGAUUGAGAGCUGCCGUUGCCUGUCUAUGGCGGUACGGUCGGCAAAGUGUCCUUAUAUCGGCGGAUCCAAGAACGCACGCGUGUUUGAAAUCGUCGUCGGGUCUGUCUUGUUCGUUCGUUCGAACGAGGCUC